This 301-nucleotide ribosomal RNA is filed under the name uncultured bacterium. Its description in RNAcentral is "partial 16S ribosomal RNA". It matches the Rfam family "Bacterial small subunit ribosomal RNA", at positions 509 to 807 of the family's 1533-position model. The record is from RNAcentral.
CAGCAGCCACGGGAAUACGGAGGGUGCAAGCGUUAAUCGGAAUUACUGGGCGUAAAGCGCACGCAGGCGGUUUGUUAAGUCAGAUGUGAAAUCCCCGAGCUUAACUUGGGAACUGCAUUUGAAACUAGCAAGCUAGAGUCUUGUAGAGGGGGGUAGAAUUCCAGGUGUAGCGGUGAAAUGCGUAGAGAUCUGGAGGAAUACCGGUGGCGAAGGCGGCCCCCUGGACAAAGACUGACGCUCAGGUGCGAAAGCGUGGGGAGCAAACAGGAUUAGAUACCCCUGUAGUCCCUGUCUCUUAUAC